Molecule: long non-coding RNA, 521 nt
Organism: Arabidopsis thaliana (thale cress)
Lineage: Eukaryota; Viridiplantae; Streptophyta; Magnoliopsida; Brassicales; Brassicaceae
Product: other RNA
Exons: 1
Source: RefSeq
GUGUAUUUGUGAUGUAUGACGUCCGUCUCCAUAACAGUGGUCCGUGGAGCCCUGUCCGAAUCUAUCCACCCAACAGAUAUAUCACGACUUCACCUUUUCCACUUGGUCAAUGACCAACGACAUCUUCGUCCUUACCUCAUUUAUCUAUAUCUUUAUUAUAUAUGCUCUCAAACACACGUAGAUCAAUAAAGUUUUACUUUCCGAAUAAUCUUAUACGAAUAUUUAUCAACGUCCACAAAAUAUGAUUUAAUCGUUAGCGACUGACUAGAUACCCAACCCAUAGAAUGGAGCCUUGAUGUCUCCUAGUACGUAUUGGAGCAUUUUGCUCCUCGUAAGAUUUAUAGCCAUUAGGAAUAUCACUAGACCAACGAAUCUUAUUCGUGAAAGUUUUAGGAGAGUUGAUUCAACGUUUUCUAAACUUUUUUUAAAAAGAGAUAAAGCUUUUUCUCAUUUUUUUUAUUUUCGUUGAUUAUUAAUUAUUCUGAUUCUUGUUGUAUAUAAUGUUUCUACCUACUCUUUAC